RNAcentral lists this ribosomal RNA (256 nucleotides) under uncultured bacterium. RNAcentral describes it as "partial small subunit ribosomal RNA". It matches the Rfam family "Bacterial small subunit ribosomal RNA", at positions 26 to 285 of the family's 1533-position model. The record is from RNAcentral.
AGAAUGAACGUUGGCGGCGUGGAUUAGGCAUGCAAGUCGAACGGAUCUGGUAGCAAUAUCAGAUUAGUGGCGUAAGGGUGAGUAAGGCGACGGCAACCAACCCCAAGGUUGGGCAUAGCCGCGGGAAACUGCGGGUAAUUCCCAGCGAUGUUUAGACCGGGCAUCCGGUUUAAACCAAAGUUCUGGCGCCGUGGGACGGGCCGUCGUGGUAUUAGGUAGUUGGCGGGGUAAUGGCCCACCAAGACUAUGAUCGGUA